RNAcentral lists this ribosomal RNA (322 nucleotides) under uncultured eukaryote. RNAcentral describes it as "partial 18S ribosomal RNA". It matches the Rfam family "Eukaryotic small subunit ribosomal RNA", at positions 1470 to 1796 of the family's 1831-position model. The record is from RNAcentral.
CCCUUAGAUGUUCUGGGCCGCACGCGUGCUACACUGAGUGGAUCAGCGGGUCAGGUUGCGCGAAAGCGUUUCCUAAUCUUUAAAUCCGCUCGUGAUGCGGAUUGACGGUUGCAAUUUUCUGUCAUGAACGAGGAAUACCUUGUAAGCGCGGGUCAUCAUCCCGCGCUGAAUACGUCCCUGCCCUUUGUACACACCGCCCGUCGCUCCUACCGAUUGAGUGGUCCGGUGAGGCUUUGGGAUCUGAGCGGAAAGAGCGUUUCGCUGUUUCUGCUCGGAAAACUCAGUCGAACCUUAUCAUUUAGAGGAAGGAGAAGUCGUAACA